Molecule: ribosomal RNA, 391 nt
Filed under: uncultured bacterium
Lineage: Bacteria
Description: bacterial SSU rRNA
Rfam family: Bacterial small subunit ribosomal RNA
Source: RNAcentral
GACGAACGCUGGCGGCGUGCUUAACACAUGCAAGUCGAGCGGUAAGGCCCUUUCGGGGGUACACGAGCGGCGAACGGGUGAGUAACACGUGGGUGACCUGCCCCUCAGCUCUGGGAUAAGCCCGGGAAACUGGGUCUAAUACCGGAUAUGACUCCAUGACGCAUGUUGUGGGGUGGAAAGCCUUGUGCGGCUGAGGAUGGGCUCGCGGCCCAUCAGCUUGUUGGUGGGGUGANGGCCUACCAAGGCGACGACGGGUAGCCGGCCUGAGAGGGCGACCGGCCACACUGGGACUGAGACACGGCCCAGACUCCUACGGGAGGCAGCAGUGGGGAAUCUUGCGCAAUAGGCGAAAGCCUGACGCAGCGACGCCGCGUGAGGGAUGACGGCCUGG